GAAUUUUAUAUAAAUUUGUUAUGUGUGUAUUAUGGAUGAAAUGUUUAAUAAGUUUAUAUUUUAUUGGGAGGAUAAAUAAAUUAAAAAAACUUUAAUAAAAAAAUCCAUUAAUUAAUGAGUUUUGAUUGAAAUGAGUGGUUAUAUAAAUUUUUAAAGAAUUAAUUACCUUAGGGAUAACAGCGUAAUAUUUUUAGAGAGAUCUUAUUAAUAAAAAUGAUUGC
Molecule: ribosomal RNA, 221 nt
Filed under: Pheidole subarmata
Lineage: Eukaryota; Metazoa; Arthropoda; Insecta; Hymenoptera; Formicidae
Description: partial large subunit ribosomal RNA
Source: RNAcentral